AGGUAGUACAAUAAAAAAACCUAUUCUCACCGGCAGUAUAUUUACUCUUUAGAGGAACUUGUUCAUUAAUCGAUAAUCCGCAAUAAAUUUUACUAAAAUAAAAAAUCUAUAUACCACCGUCUCAAGAAUAAAACCAAAUUUUACUCAAAAUAACAACUAAAAAGUCAGGUCAAGGUAUAAUCCUAAUUUUAGAACAGAAUGAGUUACAUUAAAAGUAAUUUAAGGAUUAUAAUCCAACAACUAUAUAAAAAAGGAUUUAUCAGUAGUUUAAAGAUAUUACCAAUUUACAAAAACACCUAAAUAUGC
This 306-nucleotide ribosomal RNA is filed under the name Cybaeodamus ornatus. RNAcentral describes it as "partial 12S ribosomal RNA". The record is from RNAcentral. Lineage: Eukaryota; Metazoa; Arthropoda; Arachnida; Araneae; Zodariidae.